Molecule: long non-coding RNA, 210 nt
Filed under: Elaeis guineensis (African oil palm)
Lineage: Eukaryota; Viridiplantae; Streptophyta; Magnoliopsida; Arecales; Arecaceae
Description: long non-coding RNA (EGUI_LNC050846)
Source: RNAcentral
CAUCAUCCGAUGCUUGAUGCCAGGGCCGGUGAACAAGUUCUCCAAUGAGCUGUCUGGAGCUCGUGACGUAGCCUGGGAGAUGUUUCGGAUGAGUCAAAAAUGUUUAAGUUUUAAAUUCAUGAUAUAUUUGUAUGCUACUUAUUAAUACAUGCUUCGAUUCUAUCUUGAAGAAGUACUAUCGAUUUGAGACUUCCCAGAAUGAGGAGGUUG